Molecule: long non-coding RNA, 2122 nt
Organism: Mauremys reevesii (Reeves's turtle)
Lineage: Eukaryota; Metazoa; Chordata; Testudines; Geoemydidae
Exons: 3
Source: RefSeq, a predicted model, not a curated record
AGGAGGGAGACUGAUGUAGUAUCUCCUUUGCCAGUUUUUCAGGUCUUGCUAUGCUGCAGUGAAUUAAACCUGGUACUUUGGUUUGAGGGGCUGUUUUGUGAUGAUGAUAGAGUACAAAGCAACUAGUAUGCAUGUGAGGAUUGGGGCCUAUAUCUCUAAUGGAUCAGUGACUCCUCUACUUCACCUCAGGAGAUGUUCGUGUUCAAUUAGGGGUUCCAGCAUUUGGCUGUAGCUGAUUGUGGAGCAGUGACCUGGAACCUUGAUCUUGGAGUCACAUAGUCACAGUUGGCCCUCAUUACAUUUGGUCCUCAGUCCAUCUGGGUCUUGGCUACGUAUGGUGAAGAUGGAACACAAUGAAUAUACUGGACUACUGUGUUCUCUGCACAGAAGUUUUGAAUGACAGCAACAACCAUGAAUAUUCAGUGCCAUGCCCUUGCAUGCUGACUUGCUGUGGUUUUUAUUGCCUUAUACACAGCCUGAUGCUGAGGGGGUAGAGGCACACAACUCCCCCACCCAAACCCUGCACCAGUGAGCAACACAAUUCCAAUCUGAACCACUUCCUAGCCACUACCAGGUGGCUCUGUGCACAGGAUGAUGGCUCGACUUAAGGCAGCCUUGCUCGCAAUGCUUCCCUUUUGCAGUAGGAACCAGCUCAGUAACAUAAAGAUGCACGUACAGACUACAGUGAGUAGCAGCAAGUCAACUAGGCAUCCCUGGGAACCAAACAGAAGAGAAUCCCUUCUGACUUAGACUGUGCCAUACUACCAUUGGUGGAGACCUAUGGCAUGGCCCUAGAAAAGGAAAUAAGCUACCCAUGAUAGCUUUUGAAAACCUCAUUGUUUUUGCUGUAAGGUCAUAGUGCAACCAUCAAACACGUUUAGCUCACAAAUCGUAUCUCUGGGGUACUUCUAUAUGCCCAUGUGCUUACAGGGUGAGGCAAUAGUUUUUGGAUUAAUUGUUCAUUAUUUGAAGGAUGGGCAUGAAAAUUACUCACAUGGGAACUCUGACAAGGAUCUACCUACUCCAGAAUGGUGUAAACCCAUGCAACCUAUACUAUCUCAGAGACUGAUGUAACCACCUGAAGGACUCUUGUUAUAGCAUGAAAUAUGAACUCAAACUUUGCACACCCCCUGUGUUGUGAAUGUGUCUUCUAAACUUAGCUGUUCUUUUCAAUCCCGGUAAUGGAUGGCAUCAGUUCUAGCUGUUGCCAAGUAAGUACAUGUUAGUAUCUUGCUCUACUUACAACUUUAUUUUGUGUUUUCCUUUGUUAUGCUCUAUUUGAUUCCCUUUUGUCACCCAUCCCACUGUUCUUCCUCCUGACCUUUAUAACUUAAAGAGUGCAUUGGUCUUGCGGGUACUAUGUGGUCCCAACAGGUGAGAGUGCAUCCCUGUCGGUGCCUCAUCUUGCCCUUUCCACAUACCCCAGCUCCCUGGCGGUCUUCCCUAUGUUGUACUUUCUGCAAGGUAAUCCCACUAUCUGGAUUAGACAUCUGGGGCCCCCUGUCCCUAUGCCCCAUUGGGUUUCAACAAGCACCAAUGCCCUGAAACUCUUUCCUAUCUAUGUUUAAAACCCAUCUUAAGAGGCUAUUGCAUAUAUUGAACUGUUAUGGUGCUAAACCUUAAUUUAACCUCUUAGAACAACACCUCUCCCCCCCCCCCCCCGUUUAAUGUAAGAAAGUUUAUGCCUUUUUGAAAAAGGUGAGGUUAGGAUAGCAUUUUUACAAGAGACUCAGUUAACUGUAGAAGAGUCUCAUAAAUUGGAAUGGGAUUGGGUUAAUAGAGCUCUGUCCUGCUGCUACAUCUCAAAUUUUAGAGGAGUAUCUGUGCUGAUCCACAGAAAACUGUUAGUGAAUGUUAUUGAUGUUAGUUCCGAUAAUAAAGGUGGGCUUCUCAUACUCAAUCACAGUAAAUGUGCCUGAAAGGGUCCUAAUACACACCCAAUAUAGACGAGCCUGAGAUUUUUCAUAAUGGUGCAUACUUUCCCAUCAUAAUUGUAGGUGAGUUUGAGAUUCUAGAGCCAAUAGUAUAUAGAUUCUCCUCUACUAACUGUAAGCCAACCAGGUCCAAAAUAUAAAUACCCCAACACUCUCUGUGACCAGCUAGGAGAGAUUGAACCUCCAUA